RNAcentral lists this ribosomal RNA (523 nucleotides) under uncultured archaeon. Its description in RNAcentral is "bacterial SSU rRNA". It matches the Rfam family "Archaeal small subunit ribosomal RNA", at positions 345 to 869 of the family's 1478-position model. The record is from RNAcentral.
AACCUUUACAAUGCACGAAAGUGUGAUAAGGGAACCCCAAGUGCUCAUGUUUUACAUGGGCUUUUGCCAAGUGUAAAAAGCUUGGAGAAUAAGUGGUGGGUAAGACUGGUGCCAGCAGCCGCGGUAACACCAGCGCCACGAGUGGGAACCAUGUUUAUUUGGCCUAAAGCGUCCGUAGCUGGCUUAGUAAGUCCUCUGUGAAAGUGUCAAGCUCAACUUGAUAAAAUACAGAGGAAACUACUAAACUAGAGACCGGGAGGAGUCAGGGGAAUUCUAUGGGGAGCGGUAAAAUGCUAUAAUCCUUAGAGGACCACCUGUGGCGAAGGCGCCUGACUAGAACGGAUCUGACAGUGAGGGACGAAAGCUAGGGGAGCGAUCCGGAUUAGAUACCCGAGUAGUCCUAGCCGUAAACGCUGUGAGCAAGGCGUUGCAUAUUCUAUAGGGAUGUGCAGUGUCGAAACGAAGGUGUUAAGCUCACCGCCUGGGAAGUAUGGUCGCAAGACUGAAACUUAAAGGAAUUGGC